GGAUUAGGCAUGCAAGUCGAACGGGAUCCUUAAGAUUCAAUUCUUCGGAAGAGAAUUUUUUGGUGAUAGUGGCGAACGGGUGAGUAACGCGUGGGCAAGCUGCCCUGAAGCUCGGGAUAGCUUCGAGAAAUCGAAGGUAAUACCGAAUGUGAUCGCCUCGAGCAUGUGAGGUUAUUUGAAGGUGGGGAUCUUCGGACCUGCCACUUCAGGAUGCGCCCGCGUCCCAUCAGCUAGUUGGUGAGGUAACGGCUCACCAAGGCAAAGACGGGUAGCUGGUCUGAGAGGAUGGUCAGCCACACUGGGACUGAGACAUUGCCCAGACUCCUACGGGAGGCUGCAGUCGAGAAUCAUUCGCAAUGCCCGAAAGG
This 368-nucleotide ribosomal RNA is filed under the name uncultured bacterium. RNAcentral describes it as "bacterial SSU rRNA". It matches the Rfam family "Bacterial small subunit ribosomal RNA", at positions 46 to 382 of the family's 1533-position model. The record is from RNAcentral.